Dama dama (fallow deer) is the source of this 1381-nucleotide RNA transcript. It is a transcript of the gene named programmed cell death 6, with no coding region annotated. NCBI's taxonomy places the organism in Eukaryota, Metazoa, Chordata, Mammalia, Artiodactyla, Cervidae. The transcript is spliced from 6 exons. The record is from RefSeq and is a predicted model, not a curated record.
AGCCACCUGCCACCGCCCGCUUCCCAGCCGCGCCUUAGCAGUACCUCUCCCCGCCGCUCCUCGGCCCAUGGCCGCCUACCCGUACCGCCCGGGCCCCGGCGCCGGCCCUGCCGCGGGCGCCGCGCUACCAGACCAGAGCUUCCUGUGGAACGUCUUCCAGAGGGUUGAUAAGGACAGGAGCGGUGUGAUAUCCGACAACGAGCUUCAGCAAGCACUGUCCAAUGGCACCUGGACUCCGUUUAAUCCAGUGACUGUCAGAUCGAUCAUAUCCAUGUUUGACAGAGAGAACAAGGCCGGCGUGAACUUCAGUGAGUUCACUGGUGUCUGGAAGUACAUCACGGACUGGCAGAACGUCUUCCGCACGUACGACAGGGACAACUCGGGCAUGAUCGACAAGAACGAGCUCAAGCAAGCCCUCUCAGGUUUCGGGUACCGGCUCUCUGACCAGUUUCAUGACAUCCUCAUUCGGAAGUUCGACCGACAAGGCCGGGGGCAGAUCGCCUUCGACGACUUCAUCCAGGGCUGCAUCGUGCUGCAGGUACCACCACCAGAAGGCCCGGGGUGGUGGGCAGUGGGCACCUGAAUCCCCGUGCUUCGGCAGUUGAAGCGAGUCAGACGCAUAAGACUGCCUCUGGAACCUACAGAAAGGUUGACAGAUAUAUUCAGACGCUACGAUACAGACCAGGACGGCUGGAUCCAAGUGUCAUAUGAACAGUAUCUGUCCAUGGUCUUCAGCAUCGUAUGACCCUGCCUUUCUGCAAAUACCAGCGUGACUUAUGGGAAAGAAAAGACUGAAAAUGCCAAAUCUCUUAGCUUUAAUGAAACAGACAUCAAUGCAGUUAGAUACUGUUCUUUCUUUAAAUUUUGUGUAACUACUAUCUGGGGACCCAACUGUAUAUAUGUGGAUAAGCUGGUUAACAUUUCCCACUUGUAACAGUAGUUAUCUUUCCUUAGAUACAGACAUUUGAUAUGAGGCUGUUUAAUUGUGCCAUGAGGUAACAUAAUAAUGUUUCAGGUAUUCUGCUUGCAAAAAACUUAUCAUGUGCUUUUUUAGAUAGCUCUAGUUCUAGAGUGGAAAUACUUUAUUAGCCAAUAGGAACUUUAAAUAAUAUGGAACUUGCACAGAAGGCCACUCACGUGCCUUACUUUUUAAAGGGGGUUUACUGUAUUCACUUGAAUGUGCAGCGUAAGCAAUAAAGCACACGUAUCCUUGUGCCCGUCUGUCUCAGCUGCACUCACCUGGAGCUCCGAGGGGUCCAGCAACCUGGGGUGUCCCCUGGCCCUGGUCAUGGGAGUCCCAAGAUUUGUCCAUCCUCUGUGACAGGAGUUGGUUUACAUUUGGUAAAACUUUGGAAAUACAAAUCCAAGUUUAAUUUGGAAA